UACGGGGGGGGGCAAGCGUUGUUCGGAAUUACUGGGCGUAAGGGGCUCGUAGGCGGCCAACUAAGUCAGACGUGAAAUCCCUCGGCUUAACCGGGGAACUGCGUCUGAUACUGGAUGGCUUGAGUUCGGGAGAGGGAUGCGGAAUUCCAGGUGUAGCGGUGAAAUGCGUAGAUAUCUGGAGGAACACCGGUGGCGAAGGCGGCAUCCUGGACCGACACUGACGCUGAGGAGCGAAAGCCAGGGGAGCAAACGGG
RNAcentral lists this ribosomal RNA (254 nucleotides) under uncultured bacterium. RNAcentral's name for it is "partial 16S ribosomal RNA". It matches the Rfam family "Bacterial small subunit ribosomal RNA", at positions 524 to 776 of the family's 1533-position model. The record is from RNAcentral.